UGCCAGCAGCCGCGGUAAUACGGAGGGGGCGGACGUUUCUCGGAUUUACUGGGCGUAAAGCGACCGCAGGCGGUUAGUUUAGUCAGAUGUGAAAUCCCGGUGCUCAACGCCGGAACUGCAUUUGAAACUGGCUAACUAGAGUCAUCAAGAGGAGAUCGGAAUUACCAGUGUAGAGGUGAAAUUCGUAGAUAUUGGUAGGAACACCAGUGGCGAAGGCGGAUCUCUGGGGAUGUACUGACGCUCAGGGUCGAAAGCAUGGGGAGCAAACAGGAUUAGAUA
RNAcentral lists this ribosomal RNA (279 nucleotides) under uncultured bacterium. RNAcentral's name for it is "partial 16S ribosomal RNA". It matches the Rfam family "Bacterial small subunit ribosomal RNA", at positions 506 to 784 of the family's 1533-position model. The record is from RNAcentral.